RNAcentral lists this transfer RNA (78 nucleotides) under Yarrowia sp. B02. RNAcentral describes it as "tRNA-Ile". Lineage: Eukaryota; Fungi; Ascomycota; Dipodascomycetes; Dipodascales. The record is from RNAcentral. RNAcentral also lists the same sequence under 2 other names.
GGUCCCUUGGCCCAGUUGGUUAAGGCGUCGUGCUAAUAAGCAACGCGAAGAUCAGCAGUUCGAUCCUGCUAGGGACCA